UUAUUUGCGGAUGUAGCAUCAACAAGAUUCACAUACAAAUGCAGGUAGGUGGAAUCUAAUGCAAUCUUAGGUCUCUGCUAUGCCAUAGGUCUUUUGAGGUGAGAAUCUUGAUGAUGCUGCAUCAGCCAUAAA
This is a non-coding RNA of Lupinus albus (white lupine), 132 nucleotides long. The record is from the annotation of a GenBank genome assembly. NCBI's taxonomy places the organism in Eukaryota, Viridiplantae, Streptophyta, Magnoliopsida, Fabales, Fabaceae.